This 440-nucleotide ribosomal RNA is filed under the name uncultured bacterium. Its description in RNAcentral is "partial 16S ribosomal RNA". It matches the Rfam family "Bacterial small subunit ribosomal RNA", at positions 338 to 795 of the family's 1533-position model. The record is from RNAcentral.
CCUACGGGCGGCUGCAGUGGGGAAUAUUGCACAAUGGGGGAAACUCUGAUGCAGCGACGCCGCGUGAGUGAAGAAGUAAUUCGUUAUUUAAAGCUCUAUCAGCAUGGGAGAAAAUGACGGUACCUGAGUAAUCAUCUCCGGCUAACUACGUUCCAGCAGCCGCGGUAAUACGUCGGGGGCAAGCGUUAUCCGGAUUUACUGGGUGUAAAGGGAGCGUAGACGGCAGUGCAGGUCUGGAGUGAAAGGCGGGGGCUCAACCCCCGGACUGCUGUGGAAACUGUAAGGCUGGAGUGCAGGAGAGGUAAGUGGAAUUCCUAGUGUAGCGGUGAAAUGCGUAGAUAUUAGGAGGAACACCAGUGGCGAAGGCGGCUCACUGGACUGUAACUGACGUUGAGGCUCGAAAGCGUGGGGAGCAAACAGGAUUAGAUACCCGAGUAGUC